Molecule: ribosomal RNA, 2003 nt
Filed under: Skwala americana
Lineage: Eukaryota; Metazoa; Arthropoda; Insecta; Plecoptera; Perlodidae
Description: SSU rRNA
Rfam family: Eukaryotic small subunit ribosomal RNA
Source: RNAcentral
AUAUGCUUGUCUCAAAGAUUAAGCCAUGCAUGUCUAAGUGCAAGCCAAAUUAAGGUGAAACCGCGAAUGGCUCAUUAAAUCAGUUAUGGUUCCUUAGAUAAUACUCCAAGUUACUUGGAUAACUGUGGUAAUUCUAGAGCUAAUACAUGCAAACAGAGUUCCGACUCGAGAGGGGAGGAACGCUUUUAUUAGAUCAAAACCAAUCGGUCGCCGUGCAUCUCUUAACGGGGGGCACGUGCGCAUCCGCAUUUGACUUUUGGUGACUCUGAAUAACCACUAAGCAGAUCGCACGGUCUUGUACCGGCGACGCAUCUUUCAAAUGUCUGCCUUAUCAACUGUCGAUGGUAGGCUCUGCGCCUACCAUGGUUGUAACGGGUAACGGGGAAUCAGGGUUCGAUUCCGGAGAGGGAGCCUGAGAAACGGCUACCACAUCCAAGGAAGGCAGCAGGCGCGCAAAUUACCCACUCCCGGCACGGGGAGGUAGUGACGAAAAAUAACGAUACGGGACUCAUCCGAGGCCCCGUAAUCGGAAUGAGCACAACUUAAAUACUUUAACGAGUAUCCAUUGGAGGGCAAGUCUGGUGCCAGCAGCCGCGGUAAUUCCAGCUCCAAUAGCGUAUAUUAAAGUUGUUGCGGUUAAAAAGCUCGUAGUUGGACUUGUGUCCCACGCCGUCGGUUCGUCGCCCGUCGACGUAACCGCACGGUUAAAUACAUAGUGGGACGUCCAGCCGGUGGUUUGCAGGUCUGUGAUGAAGAGAAAACCUAGUUUUGAGCUGGCCGCCUCCUUGCUCGCAAGGGGGCUGUGUCGGUUUUUCAAUUCUAUUUUCGUCGACGUUGCAGUUACCGAAACCAUUUUACUCGUCUCGGUGCUCUUAAUCGAGUGUCUUGACGGGCCGGCUCGUUUACUUUGAACAAAUUAGAGUGCUUAAAGCAGGCAUAUACAAAAGCCUGAAUAUUGUGUGCAUGGAAUAAUGGAAUAGGAUCUCGGUUCUAUUUUGUUGGUUUUCUGAACCAGAGAUAAUGAUUAAUAGAGACUGACGGGGGCAUUCGUAUUGCGACGUUAGAGGUGAAAUUCUUGGAUCGUCGCAAGACGAACAUAAGCGAAAGCAUUUGCCAAGAAAGCUUUCAUUAAUCAAGAACGAAAGUUAGAGGUUCGAAGGCGAUCAGAUACCGCCCUAGUUCUAACCAUAAACGAUGCCAACUAGCGAUCCGCCGGUGUUCCUCCGAUGACCCGGCGGGCAGCUUCCGGGAAACCAAAGUGUUUGGGUUCCGGGGGAAGUAUGGUUGCAAAGCUGAAACUUAAAGGAAUUGACGGAAGGGCACCACCAGGAGUGGAGCCUGCGGCUUAAUUUGACUCAACACGGGAAACCUCACCAGGCCCGGACACUGGAAGGAUUGACAGAUUGAUAGCUCUUUCUUGAUUCAGUGGGUGGUGGUGCAUGGCCGUUCUUAGUUGGUGGAGCGAUUUGUCUGGUUAAUUCCGAUAACGAACGAGACUCUGGCCUGCUAACUAGUCGCACAUUGACGACAUCCGCAUUCGUGCUGUCGGCGACAAAUAUAAACUCUUCUUAGAGGGACAGGCGGCUUCUAGCCGCACGAGAUUGAGCAAUAACAGGUCUGUGAUGCCCUUAGAUGUUCUGGGCCGCACGCGCGCUACACUGAAUGGUUCAACGUGUGUUUUUCCCUUGACCGAGAGGUCCGGGUAACCCGCUGAAAUCCAUUCGUGCUAGGGAUCGGGGCUUGUAAUUAUUCCCCGUGAACGAGGAAUUCCCAGUAAGCGCGAGUCAUAAGCUCGCGUUGAUUACGUCCCUGCCCUUUGUACACACCGCCCGUCGCUACUACCGAUUGAAUGAUUUAGUGAGGUCUUCGGACAGUCGCGCGGCGAAGCCCUUAUUUAUUUAGGGGUCCUUUGUCGAUGUUCGACUGAAAGAUGAUCAAACUUGAUUAUUUAGAGGAAGUAAAAGUCGUAACAAGGUUUCCGUAGGUGAACCUGCGGAAGAUCA